RNAcentral lists this ribosomal RNA (275 nucleotides) under uncultured bacterium. RNAcentral's name for it is "partial 16S ribosomal RNA". It matches the Rfam family "Bacterial small subunit ribosomal RNA", at positions 44 to 334 of the family's 1533-position model. The record is from RNAcentral.
GUGCCUAACACAUGCAAGUCGCACGAGAAAGUGGAGCAAUCCAUGAGUAAAGUGGCGAACGGGUGAGUAACACGUGACUACCUGCCCUCGAGUGGGGAAUAACCUCGGGAAACCGGGGCUAAUACCGCAUAACAUCGAGAGAUCAAAGCAGCAAUGCGCUUGAGGAGGGGGUCGCGUCUGAUUAGCUAGUUGGUAGGGUAACGGCCUACCAAGGCGAUGAUCAGUAGCCGGCCUGAGAGGGCGCACGGCCACACUGGAACUGAAACACGGUCCAG